CAGCCGCCACGGUAAUACAGAGGGUGCGAGCGUUAAUCGGAUUUACUGGGCGUAAAGCGUGCGUAGGCGGCUUUUUAAGUCGGAUGUGAAAUCCCUGAGCUUAACUUAGGAAUUGCAUUGAUACUGGGAAGCUAGAGUAUGGGAGAGGAUGGUAGAAUUCCAGGUGUAGCGGUGAAAUGCGUAGAGAUCUGGAGGAAUACCGAUGGCGAAGGCAGCCAUCUGGCCUAAUACUGACGCUGAGGUACGAAAGCAUGGGGAGCAAACAGGAUUAGAUACCCCUGUAGUCCCUGUCUCUUAUACA
RNAcentral lists this ribosomal RNA (301 nucleotides) under uncultured bacterium. RNAcentral's name for it is "partial 16S ribosomal RNA". It matches the Rfam family "Bacterial small subunit ribosomal RNA", at positions 509 to 808 of the family's 1533-position model. The record is from RNAcentral.